GCAAGGCGCAACGUAAUACAACGAAGUAAUCGGAUUAAACGUAAUACCCUUUGAUGUCAACAGAAUCUGAAUCAUAACCAAUCUUGUAGCCUCAAAAGCUACAGCACCUAACUGUAACAUCACACCCCAUGUAUCAAAUUUAGCUUCUCCAUAAGCAGCAAUCGCAACCCCAAUCGAAAUCGACACCAUAUUCCCCAUUGUAUCAGAUUUAAAAGUAUCUUUCUUAAACAGAACCCCAAUUGAAUACACAGCAACAGGCAUCAAAGCUUUAAGCAUUUGAAUAAACGAUACAGACAGAUAAAUAUAAGCAGAAUUCGACAACCACAGUGAAAACGCAUAAAGUAAACCAAUGGGUACCACAGAUUUGCAAUAAAGAUCCAUUGUCAUUGUCACAGGCUCAACAAGUUUAAACACACGAACAAGAAGAUAAGCCAAUGAAGAACAAAAAGCCAUAUGAAUAAUUGUUAGUGAAAUUGGGUAAGGCCAAUUGUACAACUUACGAUCCAAGAUAUACUUGUUGUACACAAUCACAGUAAAAGAUAGGAAGAUCCAAAUUGCAACAUAAGUGUAUGAAAGCAAGAUUUUUUUCACAACCCCUUCACUCAAGUUUCCACCUUUUCCCAUUUUUUCAACUCAAUAACUCAAAAUCAAGCAAAAUCAAGAAACACCCACAAUUCUUUUUGGAUCAAUGAAAGGGAAUUUGGGGAAAAAAGAGAGAAUUUUAGGAGGAGAAAGAGGAGGC
Molecule: unclassified non-coding RNA, 742 nt
Filed under: Hevea brasiliensis (rubber tree)
Lineage: Eukaryota; Viridiplantae; Streptophyta; Magnoliopsida; Malpighiales; Euphorbiaceae
Source: RNAcentral